AAAGGCCAUCUUUACAUAGUCAUGAGUGAAAGACCUUCCAUAGACCUUCACGAGAAGAAUAAAGAUACAGCAGUCAACGAAAAUACGUUCACAGAUGUUUUAUAUGAGGCGAUCACUGAUGUAUUGCAAAAAACAAUUCAGGAAAUAAGACAGGAUGUUUUGGAAUACGUUAACCAC
Long non-coding RNA from Acromyrmex echinatior (Panamanian leafcutter ant), 177 nucleotides. The record is from RefSeq and is a predicted model, not a curated record. Lineage: Eukaryota; Metazoa; Arthropoda; Insecta; Hymenoptera; Formicidae.